This 460-nucleotide ribosomal RNA is filed under the name uncultured bacterium. RNAcentral describes it as "partial 16S ribosomal RNA". It matches the Rfam family "Bacterial small subunit ribosomal RNA", at positions 338 to 795 of the family's 1533-position model. The record is from RNAcentral.
CCUACGGGAGGCAGCAGUGAGGAAUAUUGGUCAAUGGACGAGAGUCUGAACCAGCCAAGUAGCGUGAAGGAUGACUGCCCUAUGGGUUGUAAACUUCUUUUAUAUGGGAAUAAAAUGUUCCACGUGUGGGAUUUUGUAUGUACCAUAUGAAUAAGGAUCGGCUAACUCCGUGCCAGCAGCCGCGGUAAUACGGAGGAUUCGAGCGUUAUCCGGAUUUUUUGGGUUUAAAGGGAGCGUAGGUGGAUUGUUAAGUCAGUUGUGAAAGUUUGCGGCUCAACCGUAAAAUUGCAGUUGAAACUGGCAGUCUUGAGUACAGUAGAGGUGGGCGGAAUUCGUGGUGUAGCGGUGAAAUGCUUAGAUAUCACGAAGAACUCCGAUUGCGAAGGCAGCUCACUGGACUGCAACUGACACUGAGGCUCGAAAGUGUGGGUAUCAAACAGGAUUAGAUACCCGAGUAGUC